Molecule: long non-coding RNA, 128 nt
Organism: Ipomoea nil (Japanese morning glory)
Lineage: Eukaryota; Viridiplantae; Streptophyta; Magnoliopsida; Solanales; Convolvulaceae
Exons: 3
Source: RefSeq, a predicted model, not a curated record
AUUCUUUAAAAAAAAAAAAAAAGAGAGAGAGGAAAUCUAGAAAAACACUUCUCUAGUUUUCGUAUCUGCAGCGUGGACUUUUUGCAGAAAGGUCUCAGAUCCUUUAUGCGCACUGAUAUUUGGUUCUG